Molecule: Y RNA, 102 nt
Filed under: Prolemur simus (greater bamboo lemur)
Lineage: Eukaryota; Metazoa; Chordata; Mammalia; Primates; Lemuridae
Description: Y RNA (ENSPSMG00000013960.1)
Rfam family: Y RNA
About the family: Y RNAs are components of the Ro ribonucleoprotein particle (Ro RNP), in association with Ro60 and La proteins. The Y RNAs and Ro60 and La proteins are well conserved, but the function of the Ro RNP is not known. In humans the RNA component can be one of four small RNAs -- hY1, hY3, hY4 and hY5.
Source: Rfam by way of RNAcentral
GGCUGGUCUAAGUGCAGUGGUGUUUACAACUAAUUGAUCACAGCCAGUUACAGAUUCCUUUGUUCCUUCUCCACUCCCACUGCUUCACUUGACUAGCCUUUA